RNAcentral lists this small nucleolar RNA (72 nucleotides) under Colobus angolensis palliatus. RNAcentral describes it as "Small nucleolar RNA SNORD113/SNORD114 family (ENSCANG00000029575.1)". It matches the Rfam family "Small nucleolar RNA SNORD113/SNORD114 family". From Rfam's summary of the family: The imprinted human domain at 14q32 contains two clusters of tandemly repeated small nucleolar RNAs named 14q(I) and 14q(II) snoRNAs. These two clusters are named SNORD113 and SNORD114 respectively in the HGNC approved gene symbol nomenclature. The snoRNAs found in both clusters are clearly related and are represented here by a single family. Lineage: Eukaryota; Metazoa; Chordata; Mammalia; Primates; Cercopithecidae. The record is from Rfam by way of RNAcentral.
UGGAUUGUUGAUGACUACUGGUGGCAUAUGAGUCAUCUACAGUGAAUAUGUCUCUGGAACUCUGAGGUGUGU